UUUUAAAUGGCAGCUGCUAUGAAUUUGUACACUUGUAGCAGAUCGUUUCAAGACUCUGGUGGUGAACUCAUGGACGCGCUUGUACCUUUUAUCAAAAGCGUUUCCGAUUCUCCUUCUUCUUCUUCUGCAGCGUCUGCGUCUGCGUUUCUUCACCCCUCUGCGUUUUC
RNAcentral lists this small RNA (167 nucleotides) under Arabidopsis thaliana (thale cress). RNAcentral's name for it is "ATSL075120". Lineage: Eukaryota; Viridiplantae; Streptophyta; Magnoliopsida; Brassicales; Brassicaceae. The record is from RNAcentral.